This 374-nucleotide ribosomal RNA is filed under the name uncultured organism. RNAcentral describes it as "partial 16S ribosomal RNA". It matches the Rfam family "Bacterial small subunit ribosomal RNA", at positions 527 to 896 of the family's 1533-position model. The record is from RNAcentral.
GUAGGUGGCAAGCGUUGUCCGGAAUUAUUGGGCGUAAAGCGCGCGCAGGUGGUUCUUUAAGUCUGAUGUGAAAGCCCCCGGCUCAACCGGGGAGGGUCAUUGGAAACUGGGGAACUUGAGUGCAGGAGAGGAAAGCGGAAUUCCACGUGUAGCGGUGAAAUGCGUAGAUAUGUGGAGGAACACCAGUGGCGAAGGCGACUUUCUGGCCUGUAACUGACACUGAGGCGCGAAAGCGUGGGGAGCAAACAGGGAUUAGAUACCCUGGUAGUCCACGCCGUAAACGAUGAGUGCUAAGUGUUGGGGGGGUUUCCCGCCCCUCAGUGCUGCAGCUAACGCAUUAAGCACUCCGCCUGGGGAGUACGGUCGCAAGACUG